This 505-nucleotide ribosomal RNA is filed under the name uncultured bacterium. Its description in RNAcentral is "bacterial SSU rRNA". It matches the Rfam family "Bacterial small subunit ribosomal RNA", at positions 335 to 833 of the family's 1533-position model. The record is from RNAcentral.
ACUCCUACGGGAGGCAGCAGUGGGGAAUAUUGCACAAUGGGCGCAAGCCUGAUGCAGCCAUGCCGCGUGUGUGAAGAAGGCCUUCGGGUUGUAAAGCACUUUCAGUUGUGAGGAAAGGUUAGUCGCUAAUAUCGGCUAGCUGUGACGUUAGCAACAGAAGAAGCACCGGCUAACUCCGUGCCAGCAGCCGCGGUAAUACGUAGGGUGCAAGCGUUAUCCGGAAUUAUUGGGCGUAAAGAGCUCGUAGGCGGUUUGUCGCGUCUGUCGUGAAAGUCCGGGGCUCAACUCCGGAUCUGCGGUGGGUACGGGCAGACUAGAGUGAUGUAGGGGAGACUGGAAUUCCUGGUGUAGCGGUGGAAUGCGCAGAUAUCAGGAGGAACACCGAUGGCGAAGGCAGAUCUCUGGGCAUUAACUGACGCUGAGGAGCGAAAGCAUGGGGGAGCGAACAGGAUUAGAUACCCUGGUAGGGCUCUGCUAGUCGUGGGGGCAAGGCACACAGGGGAUA